AGUAACACAUAUCCAACCUGCCGUCUACUCUUGGACAGCCUUCUGAAGGAAGAUUAAUACAAGAUGGCAUCAUGAGUUCACAUGUUCACAUGAUUAAAGGUAUUCCGGUAGACGAUGGGGAUGCGUUCCAUUAGAUAGUAGGCGGGGUAACGGCCCACCUAGUCUUCGAUGGAUAGGGGUUCUGAGAGGAAGGUCCCCCACAUUGGAACUGAGACACGGUCCAA
Molecule: ribosomal RNA, 224 nt
Filed under: uncultured bacterium
Lineage: Bacteria
Description: partial 16S ribosomal RNA
Rfam family: Bacterial small subunit ribosomal RNA
Source: RNAcentral